Non-coding RNA from Paramormyrops kingsleyae, 760 nucleotides. The record is from RefSeq and is a predicted model, not a curated record. NCBI's taxonomy places the organism in Eukaryota, Metazoa, Chordata, Actinopteri, Osteoglossiformes, Mormyridae.
UAUAAUUUAAAUCGAUCACCAAAAUAAUAAGUGUAGGCUAUACUUUAAAAGACUAGAUUUCUGUUCGUUCGAGUUAAAGUCUGGGUUGUGUGUGAGGGUUAAGGAUUUGACAUCACGUGAAAAUUAUAAACUGGCCCGCACAAAGCCAGUUGAUUGACAGCUUGCCCGUUAGAGGAAAAGUAAAAGCAAUAGGAGAAAUGCAAAAUCAAUAGGAGAAAAACAAACGCAAUAAAGAAGCGUUUUUAGCUUCUCAUUAUUUUAUUUGCAUUUGUAUUUAUUUUAUUAUUCUUUUACAGAUUUAUUCUUUUUAUGUCACUACAUAAUGAACACACCCACAGCUUCCUAUUGCUAUACGACAAAGAAUCCGCGAAUAAAAAGCGAACUUCAGUCAGCAAAAGAAGCAGCUGCGUCUCGGCAGCAAUAUUCUAUGUCACCUUUUCCCCAACAUUUUACUUUCGCUUUUAUUGAUGUGGAACGACAUGAAACACACCUAAUUUGCAGCCUAAGGAAAUAUUUAACGAUCAGGAAAUAAAGUCAAAUAAAUCAAUCAUGGACAAUCAGGAACACGGGCCGAACUGGCUGAACAAAAUCUGUUGUAUUUUAGUAUACAUAGUUCAUGGUGAGCUUUUGUUGCUUGACUGUCUGCUCCCUUGGUUAUCCUUCCUCUUACGUAAACUGUAUUACAUUCUGAACUCCUCCUCAGUAAAAGUCCACAUGCUGGUUACUGGAGAAACACAUCAGGCCCAUGAAGCCUUCAUGC